RNAcentral lists this transfer RNA (72 nucleotides) under Camelus bactrianus (Bactrian camel). It matches the Rfam family "tRNA". From Rfam's summary of the family: Transfer RNA (tRNA) molecules are approximately 80 nucleotides in length. RNAcentral also lists the same sequence under 2 other names. The record is from Rfam by way of RNAcentral. Lineage: Eukaryota; Metazoa; Chordata; Mammalia; Artiodactyla; Camelidae.
GAGGGUAUAGCUCAGUGGUAGAAAGCCUGCUUAGCAUGCACGAGGUCCUAGGUUCAAUCCCUGGUACCUCCA